AACGAAGGAGAGGGAAAGGUAAUGGAAGGAACAGGAAAGGAGGUUAGCUUAACCAAGAGGUUUAGAAUCCCAAUCCCAAAGCAGAUAAGGCAUGGAAGGAGGGUAUAAUCGCGCAGACCAGGGACUCGAACGAAACGCGCACCCUACUACCCGUGACGGCACCUGGAUCCUGCCUCCGUCCCGCCGUCGGCGAAGAUGCUGCGACCGUCCCGAGCUGCUCCCGUGGUAGUACCGGAAGGGUUCAGCUCCACGCGCCGGCGGCGGCAAUGGGUCCUCUUCCGCGGCCUCCUCAGGAGGGCCAACGGUCGCAGGGGGCAUCCUCAACGUCCGUUGGAGUUCUCCAAGCACCGUCGUCAAUGCGACAGGCACGGCCGCCUCAUGGGGAGGCUCUCUCCUCUCACCUCCCCAACGCCGCACCUACGGUUGGCCCUCUCCGGGAUGAAGCAAGAACUGCUGGAUACCCUCCGCAUGUUCCUCACCUCACGCAUACCACGGCCCCACGGCGAGCAAGAACUGCCCACGCUGCCCCAGCACGUCAUGAUACACGGAAUGAACAGGCGGUAGCUCGAGAUACCUCUGAGUAGUCAGGACGUCAGUAGAAGGUUGGGUUCUGUAUACUACCUGCUGUCACUACUUCUAAAGGUACUAAGGUCGUCACUACCAUCGUCACUAAUACUUGUACAUUCCCAGUUUGUGAAACGAGUCCUUCCGAAGAGUUCCCUACAACCACUUAGACCUCAAUGAGUACCGGCGAACGAGAAAGUCAUGGAGCUCAAACUAAGAGGUAAAACGGCACUUGGAAACUGACUAUUCUAAAGAUCGGAAAGUCGGUCUAAAGGUCCUAACUCCUGGGAAUCCUCAACACUAAAUAGUCGUGCCUCAACCUACUCGUAGCGAACCAUGGGUUAAAUAGCAUAGGGAUGACCUGGUUGUAAUUUUCUAAAUCUACGGACGAAAGAGUGAAAGGUAGUCGAAAGUUUAACGGGCGUUCCUCUAUUAGACACCCGAGGACUAUCGUGUGGUUUGUAUGGUGAGGGUCAAAAACCAAACCGAAGGAUGUUCAAAUCGUUGAGUCAGACCAGGAGUUGACUACCACUAACCUUUGACCGAUCGACGAAUUCUCGAGUACUUUCUUACAGGCUUCUCACAGAACACUUGUACUAAUUCAAGACUCACUGACUGACCAACUGAGGAAGGUUUAGACUACGUACAAUGGUGUUCUAAACUUCGAACCUACGUAUGUAGGUUGGCUACGGGGGAGUUGUGACUGGACGACCUUUUUCUCCAGCGCCGACAAAGGGGAAGAGUAGAGAAGGUGGCGGGGGAAAACUCUCAGCGAAUAGGGGCCGGCCCGGCUAGACUACGGAGCAAGCAGCCGCUACGACCGACCGCUACCAACUCCUCUCCACGGACCAAGAAGGUAUACAUAUAAUCUCAUCGUCAUCUGAAUCAAUCUGAACCGCAAUACGGUACCACACCGGAGUACGGUCAGCCCUAUGGACGACGAUCUGGAACACUCGUCUCAGACCACCACCAGCAGCAACAGAGGAUGGAGCGGAGGUACCACCUCCCCUGACCACCUGUAACCUAGACCGUCAUAGGGAGGGUUAUUCGAGUCAGACAGGUCGUAGAUCCUCGGUGCCACCAAGGAAGGAGACAAAGAACGGCAGCACCACUACCAUCGUCUUUCCACCUCUCUAGAGCGGAGCCGGAGGAGCACCACGACCCGGAGCGGCCUAGGCUCGAAGGCCGCAUCCACCACAAUAGGGGCGUAAAACCUUUCCCGAAGGCGAUAGAGCAACCUUCGACCACUACCCCUAGGACUCGAAUAAGCUACCACCUAGACUUCCUCGAUGCUGUGGCCAGAGGAGGUUGUUAGGUAGCUAAGGAGACCAGCUUCCCGCCGGUAUGAACAAGGAGGGUCGGUGCUACGGUCUUCCUUCCGUCACGACACGGUUUAACCUCAGACACCGAACGAUGUCUCCAGAGCGGCCUGGUUCACCAGACAGGGUCCGCAGCCGCUACUAACAUAGGUGACGCCGUGUCGCACCUGGGCUAGCGCAAAAGUCAAAAUACAAACCCCAGGAAAGAUAUUCUACGUCCCUAAACAAAAAUAAAAGUCGAAGAAAUCACAGGAACAACAUUCGAUAUUACAGAGAAGCAGUAUUAGUUACUUCACGACCCAGGAAGACCCGGGAACAUCACAAGUUUUUUUUUUUUUAGGUUGGCUGCUCGCGGGCCGACAAAAAA
RNAcentral lists this ribosomal RNA (2250 nucleotides) under Triticum aestivum (bread wheat). Its description in RNAcentral is "partial small subunit ribosomal RNA". Lineage: Eukaryota; Viridiplantae; Streptophyta; Magnoliopsida; Poales; Poaceae. The record is from RNAcentral.